Molecule: ribosomal RNA, 497 nt
Filed under: uncultured bacterium
Lineage: Bacteria
Description: partial 16S ribosomal RNA
Rfam family: Bacterial small subunit ribosomal RNA
Source: RNAcentral
GAUGAACGCUGGCGGCGUGCCUAAUACAUGCAAGUCGAGCGAACAGAUGAGGAGCUUGCUCCUCUGACGUUAGCGGCGGACGGGUGAGUAACACGUGGAUAACCUACCUAUAAGACUGGGAUAACUUCGGGAAACCGGAGCUAAUACCGGAUAAUAUAUUGAACCGCAUGGUUCAAUAGUGAAAGACGGUUUUGCUGUCACUUAUAGCUGGAUCCGCGCCGCAUUAGCUAGUUGGUAAGGUAACGGCUUAUCAAGGCAACGAUGCGUAGCCGACCUGAGAGGGUGAUCGGCCACACUGGAACUGAGACACGGUCCAGACUCCUACGGGACGCAGCAGUAGGGAAUCUUCCGCAAUGGGCGAAAACCUGACGGAGCAACGCCGCGUGAGUGAUGAAGGUCUUCGGAUCGUAAAACUCUGUUAUUAGGGAAGAACAAAUGUGUAAGUAACUAUGCACGUCUUGACGGUACCUAGUCAGAAAGCCACGGCUAACUACGUG